UGUGGGGUUGUGGAUACUGUGGUUAUUAGUUGUGGGUUAGAUACUAACCCGGUGGACCCUUUAUAGGUCCUGUCGACAUUCUUUUGCAGUCAGGAGACAGACGCGACAUCCUUACAGGUGGGUACUUCGAUCCGACGUCGGUACAGUGGUGCACGCUUGGUGAUGGUUUCUUACCCUUACUCUUCUGUUGUUACUAUCGCAUAGUAUAUUGAGCCUUGCACCCUUGUUUAUUCGUUAUACACUACUCGUUGUUUGCAUGCUUAGUAUCCCGAGUAGGAGUAGAGCAGUUCUAUCUAUAUGCGUAUCUGUUGACCUAGUUGGUCUGUUGUUGCAU
RNAcentral lists this long non-coding RNA (334 nucleotides) under Ananas comosus (pineapple). RNAcentral describes it as "long non-coding RNA (ACOM_LNC037744)". Lineage: Eukaryota; Viridiplantae; Streptophyta; Magnoliopsida; Poales; Bromeliaceae. The record is from RNAcentral.